RNAcentral lists this ribosomal RNA (253 nucleotides) under uncultured bacterium. RNAcentral's name for it is "partial 16S ribosomal RNA". It matches the Rfam family "Bacterial small subunit ribosomal RNA", at positions 524 to 776 of the family's 1533-position model. The record is from RNAcentral.
UACGUAGGGUGCAAGCGUUGUCCGGAUUUACUGGGCGUAAAGGGCGCGUAGGCGGCCUGUUAAGUCGAACGUGAAAUCCCUGGGCUCAACCCAGGAACUGCGUCCGAUACUGGCAGGCUUGAAUUCGGGAGAGGGAUGCGGAAUUCCAGGUGUAGCGGUGAAAUGCGUAGAUAUCUGGAGGAACACCGGUGGCGAAGGCGGCAUCCUGGACCGAUACUGACGCUGAGGAGCGAAAGCGUGGGGAGCAAACAGG